GAGUCUUCCCCUUCGGGGGACAAAGUGACAGGUGGUGCAUGGUUGUCGUCAGCUCGUGUCGUGAGAUGUUGGGUUAAGUCCCGCAACGAGCGCAACCCUUAAGCUUAGUUGCCAGCAUUAAGUUGGGCACUCUAAGUUGACUGCCGGUGACAAACCGGAGGAAGGUGGGGAUGACGUCAAAUCAUCAUGCCCCUUAUGAUUUGGGCUACACACGUGCUACAAUGGACAAUACAAAGGGCAGCUAAACCGCGAGGUCAUGCAAAUCCCAUAAAGUUGUUCUCAGUUCGGAUUGUAGUCUGCAACUCGACUACAUGAAGCUGGAAUCGCUAGUAAUCGUAGAUCAGCAUGCUACGGUGAAUACGUUCCCGGGUCUUGUACACACCGCCCGUCACACCACGAGAGUCUGUAACACCCGAAGCCGGUGGAGUAACCAUUUAUGGAGCUAGCCGUCGAAGGUGGGACAAAUGAUUGGGGUGAAGUCGUAACAAGGUAGCCGUAUCGGAA
Molecule: ribosomal RNA, 504 nt
Filed under: uncultured bacterium
Lineage: Bacteria
Description: bacterial SSU rRNA
Rfam family: Bacterial small subunit ribosomal RNA
Source: RNAcentral